Molecule: ribosomal RNA, 849 nt
Filed under: uncultured bacterium
Lineage: Bacteria
Description: bacterial SSU rRNA
Rfam family: Bacterial small subunit ribosomal RNA
Source: RNAcentral
CAAGUCGAACGAUGAACCCGGAGCUUGCUCCGGCGGAUUAGUGGCGAACGGGUGAGUAACACGUGAGUAACCUGCCCUUGACUCUGGGAUAACUGCGGGAAACUGUAGCUAAUACCGGAUACGACCCUCGGAGGCAUCUCCUGGGGGUGGAAAGAAUUUCGGUCAAGGAUGGACUCGCGGCCUAUCAGCUAGUUGGUGAGGUAAAGGCUCACCAAGGCGACGACGGGUAGCCGGCCUGAGAGGGUGACCGGCCACACUGGGACUGAGACACGGCCCAGACUCCUACGGGAGGCAGCAGUGGGGAAUAUUGCACAAUGGGCGCAAGCCUGAUGCAGCAACGCCGCGUGAGGGACGACGGCCUUCGGGUUGUAAACCUCUUUUAGUAGGGAAGAAGCGGAAGUGACGGUACCUGCAGAAAAAGCACCGGCUAACUACGUGCCAGCAGCCGCGGUAAUACGUAGGGUGCAAGCGUUGUCCGGAAUUAUUGGGCGUAAAGAGCUCGUAGGCGGUUUGUCGCGUCUGCUGUGAAAUCCCGAGGCUCAACCUCGGGCCUGCAGUGGGUACGGGCAAACUAGAGUGUGGUAGGGGAGAUUGGAACUCCUGGUGUAGCGGUGGAAUGCGCAGAUAUCAGGAAGAACACCGAUGGCGAAGGCAGAUCUCUGGGCCAUUACUGACGCUGAGGAGCGAAAGCGUGGGGAGCGAACAGGAUUAGAUACCCUGGUAGUCCACGCCGUAAACGUUGGGAACUAGAUGUAGGGUCCAUUCCACGGAUUCUGUGUCGCAGCUAACGCAUUAAGUUCCCCGCCUGGGGAGUACGGCCGCAAGGCUAAAACUCAAAGGAAUUGACGG